CGGUACUACCCCCCGAGGGCGCGGGCUACCCGCAGGGCUUCGCCCCCGCCGCGGGCUACCCGCCCCCCGGGGCCCCCGCCGCGCCCUACCCGACCUACCCCUCCGCCCCGAGCGCCCCGGACGCUAACGUGAUGCCGCCGUCGUACGAGCAAGCGGUUUGUGCGAAGCCCCCUCCCCACAACCCGUACGCGUCGCACUAGAGUCGCUGCCGUAUCGCUGCCGUAUCGCUACCGUAUCGCUACCGUAUCGCUACCUAUCGCGUCCGCGCCGACAUUUUGUAAUGUUUUAUGUUGAGUUACAACUGUACUAACUUGUACUGUUGUAAGUAAUGUAACGAUUAACUUGUACAUUGUUCCGAGGAUAUCUUGGUGCGUGGACUGCGGAUUACGACUAAACAUACUUUUAUGGAGAAAAUAAGGAGUUAUUGGUUUAAGAAGAUAUGUGUAUUUGUUGUUUCACUGCCUUGUACUUUUAGGUUUCAAUAUUCACACAGUAACAUUGUUAAUGAUAUCAACGUUCAUGAUAAAAAAGGUUUAUGUAUA
Long non-coding RNA from Melitaea cinxia (Glanville fritillary), 542 nucleotides. RefSeq lists it as uncharacterized. Lineage: Eukaryota; Metazoa; Arthropoda; Insecta; Lepidoptera; Nymphalidae. The transcript is spliced from 2 exons. The record is from RefSeq and is a predicted model, not a curated record.